Molecule: long non-coding RNA, 421 nt
Organism: Vespa mandarinia (Asian giant hornet)
Lineage: Eukaryota; Metazoa; Arthropoda; Insecta; Hymenoptera; Vespidae
Source: RefSeq, a predicted model, not a curated record
GAGGAAAGAGAUAUUUUAUUAAUCAUAUCAAAGAACGAAAACUUUCCAUGAAUCGUUAUCUUAGAACGAUUAGACUUGAUAGUUAAAAAGAAGCUUGUUUACUUGAUGUUAUGUGAUGCAAUACUGGGUCAUACGAUGCCGUCGCGUCGCUUCGAGAAUGUGCUGCGCAUGCAUUCGACUGACCGACCGAUAAACGACGUUCCUAAAAAAUAUGUCCAAAGGAAAAUCAUUACUUAUUUGGAAAAACAUUUCAAAAGAAUACAAAUUAAUUUAUAUUACUGAUCUAGGGCAUGAUUUUACAUUUUAUUCUUUAUAAAAAUAAAACAAAACAAAGUGAAACAAUAAAAAGAAGGAAGAAUUGAUUUCAAUCAAUUUCAAUGUAUGUAUCAUUACUCUCUACUGUACUAAAAUAUAAAAAUGA